Long non-coding RNA from Syngnathus acus (greater pipefish), 418 nucleotides. RefSeq lists it as uncharacterized. Lineage: Eukaryota; Metazoa; Chordata; Actinopteri; Syngnathiformes; Syngnathidae. The transcript has 3 exons. The record is from RefSeq and is a predicted model, not a curated record.
ACUGCUGCAAGUUUUGUUGCAGCCCGGGAGAUAAUAAAAUGCGGAAAACCAUUUACUGAUGUAAAGGAAAUGGUCAUUUGAAUGGCAAACAAUAUCACCGAUCAGCAAAUCAAGGACAUCAAUUCAGCUCCAGCUUUCUCAAUUGCCUGUGAUGAGUCGUGUGACGUGACCGAUAUCGAAAAGGCAGGUCUGCUAUGCAGGUACGUGAACUCUAAUGGGCCGCAAGAAGAAAUUUAUUCCACUAAAAGACCAAAUACGGGGGGAAGGACAUCUGCGAGGCUGUGCUACAGUGUUUAAAUGACAGAGAUACACACUGGCCACCUGAUUUCAGUCACUACAGACGGCACAUCGAGUAUGAGAGGGUCGCAAAAGUUUGUUACUUUACGACAGAAAGCAUUGGAUCGGAAUUUGCUUGCAU